GUUCGAAUAUGGUCCGCUAUAGAAGGGGUAUUAACCGGCUUGUAAGAUUAGAGAAAACAAUGACACUGCACCUGUCCCCUCCAGGACUCCGGCCACGUCCCUCCUCUACGGCUGCAAGCUGCACGGGCUUCCCAGGAAAGAUGGAAUCAAGAGAGACUCUGCUCUCCAUCAUGAGUCAGAACUACUAGGAUUUUGGGUUGAGUCCUUCCUGCGUUGGAAUUGGCCAGUUCAUGUGGAUAAUGGCAAAUAAUUCAGCCUUUAUUAUGGGAGGGGAUUCUUACUGGAAACAUCUCAUUCCUGGAAUCAAGGAAUCUAAGUGGACAGCAGGCAUAUUCAUUGAGAAUCUGGGGCUGCACUACUGCCCUCAGAAAACAAUGGCCUUGCUUGUGCAAACUUGUGAACAUCAGUCUUCCUCACCCUCAGCCGUGUGGACCAGAAUCAGCAGAGAAUUAGAAGUUUAGAAUUAUUACUUGGAAGUGGCUAUCCAGCGGUGGACUACAUUUUGCAGUUCCCUUUGCAUCUACAUGGAAACGAAGGACGGU
Molecule: long non-coding RNA, 542 nt
Filed under: Vulpes vulpes (red fox)
Lineage: Eukaryota; Metazoa; Chordata; Mammalia; Carnivora; Canidae
Description: lncRNA (ENSVVUG00000000455.1)
Source: RNAcentral